AGUGAACGCUGGCGGUAGGCCUAACACAUGCAAGUCGAACGGCAGCACAGUAAGAGCUUGCUCUUACGGGUGGCGAGUGGCGGACGAGUGAGGAAUACAUCGGAAUCUACUUUUUCGUGGGGGAUAACGUAGGGAAACUUACGCUAAUACCGCAUACGACCUACGGGUGAAAGCAGGGGAUCUUCGGACCUUGCGCGAUUGAAUGAGCCGAUGUCGGAUUAGCUAGUUGGCGGGGUAAAGGCCCACCAAGGCGACGAUCCGUAGCUGGUCUGAGAGGAUGAUCAGCCACACUGGAACUGAGACACGGUCCAGACUCCUACGGGAGGCAGCAGUGGGGAAUAUUGGACAAUGGGCGCAAGCCUGAUCCAGCCAUACCGCGUGGGUGAAGAAGGCCUUCGGGUUGUAAAGCCCUUUUGCUGGGAAAGAAAAGCAGCAGGUUAAUACCCCGCUGUUCUGACGGUACCCAAAGAAUAAGCACCGGCUAACUUCGUG
RNAcentral lists this ribosomal RNA (492 nucleotides) under uncultured bacterium. Its description in RNAcentral is "partial 16S ribosomal RNA". It matches the Rfam family "Bacterial small subunit ribosomal RNA", at positions 29 to 507 of the family's 1533-position model. The record is from RNAcentral.